UACAGAGGUCUCAAGCGUUGUUCGGAUUCAUUGGGCGUAAAGGGUGCGUAGGCGGCGCGGUAAGUCGGGUGUGAAAUCUCGGGGCUUAACUCCGAAACUGCAUUCGAUACUGCCGUGCUUGAGGACUGGAGAGGAGACUGGAAUUUACGGUGUAGCGGUGAAAUGCGUAGAUAUGUGGAGGAAUACCGAUGGCGAAGGCAGCCUCCUGGGAUAACACUGACGCUCAUGCACGAAAGCGUGGGGAGCAAACAGG
This 253-nucleotide ribosomal RNA is filed under the name uncultured bacterium. RNAcentral's name for it is "partial 16S ribosomal RNA". It matches the Rfam family "Bacterial small subunit ribosomal RNA", at positions 524 to 776 of the family's 1533-position model. The record is from RNAcentral.